Long non-coding RNA from Haliotis rubra (blacklip abalone), 206 nucleotides. RefSeq lists it as uncharacterized. The transcript is spliced from 3 exons. The record is from RefSeq and is a predicted model, not a curated record. NCBI's taxonomy places the organism in Eukaryota, Metazoa, Mollusca, Gastropoda, Lepetellida, Haliotidae.
GUAGGAUCUCUCUGCAGAACACUCGGAUAUGAAGCGCAGAAGGUACUUUCUUCCGAUGCUGAUCUGGGCGGCCUUGCUGCUAAUUAUUCUGUGGAUUAAUACCAAGUACCCGGCUUUACGCUUGCAAGUGGCCGAAGAGAGUGACACGGACAGUUCAGUGGCCGAAGAGAGUUACCAGCAUGACAAUGAUAACCAGGACAGCUCUG